UCCCUGGUGGCUCAGACGGUAAAGCAUCUGUCUACAAUUCAGGAGACCCAGGUUUGAUCCCUGGGUCGGGAA
Molecule: transfer RNA, 72 nt
Filed under: Bos taurus (domestic cattle)
Lineage: Eukaryota; Metazoa; Chordata; Mammalia; Artiodactyla; Bovidae
Also listed under: 3 other names
Rfam family: tRNA
About the family: Transfer RNA (tRNA) molecules are approximately 80 nucleotides in length. Their secondary structure includes four short double-helical elements and three loops (D, anti-codon, and T loops). Further hydrogen bonds mediate the characteristic L-shaped molecular structure. tRNAs have two regions of fundamental functional importance: the anti-codon, which is responsible for specific mRNA codon recognition, and the 3' end, to which the tRNAs corresponding amino acid is attached (by aminoacyl-tRNA synthetases). tRNAs cope with the degeneracy of the genetic code in two manners: having more than one tRNA (with a specific anti-codon) for a particular amino acid; and 'wobble' base-pairing, i.e. permitting non-standard base-pairing at the 3rd anti-codon position.
Source: Rfam by way of RNAcentral